AUUGAACGCUGCGGCAGGCCUAACACAUGCAAGUCGAGCGGCAGCGACUAACUGAACCUUCGGGGAACGUUAAGGGCGGCGAGCGGCGGACGGGUGAGUAAUGCCUGGGAAUAUGCCCUGAUGUGGGGGAUAACUAUUGGAAACGAUAGCUAAUACCGCAUAAUCUCUUCGGAGCAAAGAGGGGGACCUUCGGGCCUCUCGCGUCAGGAUUAGCCCAGGUGGGAUUAGCUUGUUGGUGAGGUAAUGGCUCACCAAGGCGACGAUCCCUAGCUGGUCUGAGAGGAUGAUCAGCCACACUGGAACUGAGACACGGUCCAGACUCCUACGGGAGGCAGCAGUGGGGAAUAUUGCACAAUGGGGGAAACCCUGAUGCAGCCAUGCCGCGUGUGUGAAGAAGGCCUUCGGGUUGUAAAGCACUUUCAGUAGGGAGGAAGGUAGUGUAGUUAACACCUGCACUAUUUGACGUUACCUACAGAAGAAGCACCGGCUAACUCCGUGCCAGCAGCCGCGGUAAUACGGAGGGUGCGAGCGUUAAUCGGAAUUACUGGGCGUAAAGCGCAUGCAGGCGGCCUGUUAAGUCAGAUGUGAAAGCCCGGGGCUUAACCUCGGAAUUGCAUUUGAAACUGGCAGGCUAGAGUCUUGUAGAGGGGGGUAGAAUUUCAGGUGUAGCGGUGAAAUGCGUAGAGAUCUGAAGGAAUACCAGUGGCGAAGGCGGCCCCCUGGACAAAGACUGACGCUCAGAUGCGAAAGCGUGGGGAGCAAUCAGG
Molecule: ribosomal RNA, 767 nt
Filed under: uncultured bacterium
Lineage: Bacteria
Description: bacterial SSU rRNA
Rfam family: Bacterial small subunit ribosomal RNA
Source: RNAcentral